GCUGGGCGUGGUAGCGCAUGCCUGUAAUCCCAGCUACUUGGGAGGCUGAGGCAGGAGAAUUGCUUGAAUCCGGGAGGCAGAGGUUGCAGUGAGUGGAGGUUGCAGUGAGCCGAGAUCCAGCCACUGCACUUCAGCCUGGGCAACAGAGUGAGACUCUGUCUCAA
Molecule: unclassified non-coding RNA, 164 nt
Organism: Papio anubis (olive baboon)
Lineage: Eukaryota; Metazoa; Chordata; Mammalia; Primates; Cercopithecidae
Rfam family: Metazoan signal recognition particle RNA
About the family: The signal recognition particle (SRP) is a universally conserved ribonucleoprotein. It is involved in the co-translational targeting of proteins to membranes.
Source: Ensembl